CCUACGGGAGGCAGCAGUGGGGAAUAUUGGGCAAUGGGCGCAAGCCUGACCCAGCAACGCCGCGUGAAGGAAGAAGGCUUUCGGGUUGUAAACUUCUUUUCUCAGGGACGAAGAAAGUGACGGUACCUGAGGAAUAAGCCACGGCUAACUACGUGCCAGCAGCCGCGGUAAUACGUAGGUGGCAAGCGUUAUCCGGAUUUAUUGGGUGUAAAGGGCGUGUAGGCGGGAGCGCAAGUCAGAUGUGAAAACUCAGGGCUCAACCCUGAGCCUGCAUUUGAAACUGUGUUUCUUGAGUGCUGGGGAGGCAAGCGGAAUUCCGUGUGUAGCGGUGAAAUGCGUAGAUAUACGGAGGAACACCAGUGGCGAAGGCGGAUUGCUGGACAGUAACUGACGCUGAGGCGCGAAAGCGUGGGGAGCAAACAGGAUUAGAUACCCUUGUAGUC
This 443-nucleotide ribosomal RNA is filed under the name uncultured bacterium. RNAcentral's name for it is "partial 16S ribosomal RNA". It matches the Rfam family "Bacterial small subunit ribosomal RNA", at positions 338 to 795 of the family's 1533-position model. The record is from RNAcentral.